AAAAUUUAAAAAUAUACUAAAAUAGAAAUAUUAAUAAAAUAUUAAAAUAAAAAUCUUAUUUAAAUCCUAAAAAAUCCUAACCAAAUCUUAAAUAAAUUCUAAUCAAAUCUUAAAAAAUCCUAAUCAAAUCUUAAUCAAAUCCUAAAUAAACCUUAACCAAAUCCUAGUCAAAUCCUAAGCAAAUCUUAAACAAAUCCUAAUCAAAUCCUAAAUAAAUCCUAAUCAAAUCUUAAUUAAAUCUUUACCAAAUCCUAAAUAAAUCUUAGUCAAAUCCUAAAUACUACAAUUCAAUUAUAAUACCAAUAUCUCCUCAAUACAUACAUUCAGAAGUAGAAGAUAUGCAAAUUGAU
RNAcentral lists this long non-coding RNA (350 nucleotides) under Physcomitrium patens. RNAcentral describes it as "long non-coding RNA (PPAT_LNC009300)". Lineage: Eukaryota; Viridiplantae; Streptophyta; Bryopsida; Funariales; Funariaceae. The record is from RNAcentral.